AUGUCUGGAAUUCCUUAUUUAUAUCCCAUGCAAAAGAAGAGAAUCCAAGGCAAAGGCGAGAACAAUAAAAUUAAAAUUUCUUCCUUUUCGGAGGGAUUGCAGGUCUUCUUAAUCGUCUAUUCGGCACAAGAAAAAGCCUUUUUCUUGUGCCGAUUCUUCUGUAUCAAAAUAAGAAUCCUUUUUCUUCCUAAUUCGUCAUUACUAUUUCUUCUUUAUUCGGGUCUGUCUCUUGGACCUCUUUUUCUUUUGCUUAGGUUUAGCCGAGGUAGUGGACAAACAGAGGGGAAGAAAAUAUGGCGGGGGAAAAAUUUCUUGUGA
This 318-nucleotide ribosomal RNA is filed under the name Triticum aestivum (bread wheat). Its description in RNAcentral is "partial small subunit ribosomal RNA". The record is from RNAcentral. Lineage: Eukaryota; Viridiplantae; Streptophyta; Magnoliopsida; Poales; Poaceae.